UGGGGAAUUUUGGACAAUGGGGGAAACCCUGAUCCAGCCAUCCCGCGUGUGCGAUGAAGGCCUUCGGGUUGUAAAGCACUUUUGGCAGGAAAGAAACGUCGCGGGUUAAUACCCCGCGAAACUGACGGUACCUGCAGAAUAAGCACCGGCUAACUACGUGCCAGCAGCCGCGGUAAUACGUAGGGUGCAAGCGUUAAUCGGAAUUACUGGGCGUAAAGCGUGCGCAGGCGGUUCGGAAAGAAAGAUGUGAAAUCCCAGAGCUUAACUUUGGAACUGCAUUUUUAACUACCGGGCUAGAGUGUGUCAGAGGGAGGUGGAAUUCCGCGUGUAGCAGUGAAAUGCGUAGAUAUGCGGGGGGAACACCGAUGGCGAAGGCAGCCUCCUGGGAUAACACUGACGCUCAUGCACGAAAGCGUGGGGAGCAAACAGGAUUAGAUACCCUGGUAGUCCACGCCCUAAACGAUGUCAACUAGCUGUUGGGGCCUUCGGGCCUUGGUAGCGCAGCUAACGCGUGAAGUUGACCGCCUGGGGGAGUACGGUCGCAAGAUUAAAACUUAAAUGAAUUGACGGGGUCAUAGCUGUUUCCUG
Molecule: ribosomal RNA, 588 nt
Filed under: uncultured bacterium
Lineage: Bacteria
Description: partial 16S ribosomal RNA
Rfam family: Bacterial small subunit ribosomal RNA
Source: RNAcentral